RNAcentral lists this long non-coding RNA (1070 nucleotides) under Junco hyemalis (dark-eyed junco). Its description in RNAcentral is "lncRNA (ENSJHYG00000017075.1)". The record is from RNAcentral. Lineage: Eukaryota; Metazoa; Chordata; Aves; Passeriformes; Passerellidae.
UUUUAUUUUUAAUCUUGGUUUGGGUCUUUUUUUCCUCCCCUUUUAUUCCCAAAUAAAGUUUUGAUUUUUAAUCCCAAAUUCGGGUUUUUUUAUUCCCCUUUUAUUCCCAAAGAAAGUUUUUAUUUUUAUUUUUAAUCCCAGUUUGGUUUUUUUCCCCUUUUAUUCCCAAAGAAAAUUUUCAUUUUUAUUUUUAAAGUUUUUAUUUUUAUUUUUAACCCCAGUUUGAGGAUUUUUUCCCCCCUUUCCAGGUGUUUUUUUUGAGGGAAUUUUGGGUCAUUCCCCAUCUCAAAAUUCCAGGAUUUGGGAGUUUGGGAUGGUCCUUGGGGGAGAGGGAAACUGAGGCAGAAAAAAACCCAAAAUUUGGGGAAAAUCCCCCAAAAUUCAGUGGGAAAAAAAACCCCAAAAUUCAGGAAAAAAAUCUCCAAAAUCCAGUGCAAAAAACCCCAAAACUCAGGAAAGAAUCCCCCAAAAUUCAGGGAAAAAACCCUCAAAAUUCAGGCAAAAAUUCCCCAAAAUUCAGGGGAAAUUCGCAAAAAUUCAGUGGAAGAAUCCCCAAAAUUCAGAGAAAAAUCCCUCGAAAUUCAGGGGAAAAUAAUCCUAAAAUUUUGAAAAAUUCCCCCAAAAUUUGGGGAAAAUCCCACAAAAUUUGGGAAAAAUCCCCCAAAAAUUCAGGGAAAAGCCCUCAAAAUUCAGGAGAAAAUCUCCCAAAAAUCAGUGGGAAAAAACCCCCAAAAUUCAGGAAAAAAUCCCCCAAAAAUUUGGAAAAAAAUCCCCCAAAAUUUGGGAAAAUCCCCCAAAAUUCAGGAGGAAAUGCCCCAAAAUUCAGUGGAAAAAACCCCAAAAUUUGGGGAAAAGUCCCAAAAAUUCAGGAGAAAAUCACACAAAAUUCAGUGGGGGAAAAACCCCAAAAUUCAGGUAAAAUCUGCCCAAAAUUCAGAGAAAAUUCCCCAAAAUUCAGUGGGAAUAAAACCCAAAAUUUGGGGAAAAUCCCCCAAAAUUUGGGAUCCCAGGGAAGGGAAACUGAGGCAGGGAAACCCCCUGGGGAAACUGAGGCACGAGGGAGAUUUUGG